UGAUGGGAGCUUCAGGUUCUUGCCAAA
RNAcentral lists this non-coding RNA (27 nucleotides) under Homo sapiens (human). The record is from RNAcentral. Lineage: Eukaryota; Metazoa; Chordata; Mammalia; Primates; Hominidae.